CUGAGUACAGCCAAGGCAAUCAUCCAGACAAAGUUGUUUUUACUAUUUUGGUAUGUAAUAAUACAGAGGGGGAAAGAUAUUUAAUUGUCAACAAUAUAUUUGGUGUUCUACGACAGUCAAGAUUAUUAGUCCUUGAUUACAGAUCCCCAAACCACCUCAGAACUGAUUUCAGAACCUUUAAUACAAAACUGCUAACCGGAAGUAGACCAGCUUAAAUUCAUAAAUUCAGUGAGACCACUCCAGAUUUAUACCAAAACUAAUGGUGAUCAGAAUUUGGUCUAAAUGUCUCCAUUAUGACCAACCUCUAUUUGUUCCAUAAAGAGAAAUGUACAUCACAGAGGGAGGUAAUUUACAAUUUUUAUAACCAUUAUAAUUUGUAGUACACAACUAACCACAUGGCCAUUCUUUCAAAGCAUGAA
This 419-nucleotide long non-coding RNA is filed under the name Chloebia gouldiae (Gouldian finch). RNAcentral describes it as "Erythrura gouldiae (Gouldian finch) lncRNA (ENSEGOG00005007089.1)". The record is from RNAcentral. Lineage: Eukaryota; Metazoa; Chordata; Aves; Passeriformes; Passeridae.